RNAcentral lists this unclassified non-coding RNA (376 nucleotides) under uncultured Actinomycetes bacterium. RNAcentral's name for it is "uncultured actinobacterium contains 16S-23S intergenic spacer region". Lineage: Bacteria; Bacillati; Actinomycetota; Actinomycetes. The record is from RNAcentral.
UCCGGCUUAUCACCGGCAGUCCCUCUAGAGUGCCCAACUUAAUGCUGGCAACUAAAGGCGAGGGUUGCGCUCGUUGCGGGACUUAACCCAACAUCCCACGACACGAGCUGACGACAGCCAUGCAGCAUCUGUGUGGCACCCUCGAAGGUCACACGUUUCCGUGCGCUUGCAGCCACAUGUCAAGCCCAGGUAAGGUUCUUCGCGUUGCAUCGAAUUGAGCCACAUGCUCCGCCGCUUGUGCGGGCCCCCGCCAAUUCCUUUGAGUUUUAGCCUUGCGGCCGUACUCCCCAGGCGGGGCACUUAAUGCGUUAGCUGCGGCACGGAAUCCGUCGAUAGGACCCCACACCUAGUGCCCAACGUUUACGGCGUGGACUAC